This 222-nucleotide ribosomal RNA is filed under the name uncultured bacterium. Its description in RNAcentral is "partial 16S ribosomal RNA". It matches the Rfam family "Bacterial small subunit ribosomal RNA", at positions 32 to 232 of the family's 1533-position model. The record is from RNAcentral.
AAUCAACGCUGGCGGCGUGCCUCAGACAUGCAAGUCGAACGCGAAAGUUUCCUUCGGGGAGCGAGUAGAGUGGCGCACGGGUGAGUAACACGUAGGUAAUCUACCUUCGGAUGGGGAAUAACAAUCGGAAACGGUUGCUAAUACCGCAUAAUGCAGCGGCACCUAAUGGUGACAGUUGUUAAAGCGGGGGAGUCGUAAGACCUCGCGUCUGAAGAGGAGCCU